CGUCCGGGUGAGUAACACGUGGGUAACCUGCCCAUAAGACUGGGAUAACUCCGGACAACCGGGGCUAAUACAGGAUAACAUUUUGAACCGCAUGGUUCGAAAUUGAAAGGCGGCUUCGGCUGUCACUUAUGGAUGGACCCGCGUCGCAUUAGCUAGUUGGUGAGGUAACGGCUCACCAAGGCAACGAUGCGUAGCCGACCUGAGAGGGUGAUCGGCCUCACUGGGACUGAGACACGGCCCAGACUCCUACGCGAGGCAGCAGUAGGGAAUCUUCCGCAAUGGACGAAAGUCUGACGGAGCAACGCCGCGUGAGUGAUGAAGGCUUUCGGGUCGUAAAACUCUGUUGUUAGGGAAGAACAAGUGCUAGUUGAAUAAGCUGGCACCUUGACGGUACCUAACCAGAAAGCCACGGCUAACUACGUGCCAGCAGCCGCGGUAAUACGUAGGUGGCAAGCGUUAUCCGGAAUUAUUGGGCGUAAAGCGCGCGCAGGUGGUUUCUUAAGUCUGAUGUGAAAGCCCACGGCUCAACCGUGGAGGGUCAUUGGAAACUGGGAGACUUGAGUGCAGAAGAGGAAAGUGGAAUUCCAUGUGUAGCGGUGAAAUGCGUAGAGAUAUGGAGGAACACCAGUGGCGAAGGCGACUUUCUGGUCUGUAACUGACACUGAGGCGCGAAAGCGUGGGGAGCAAACAGGAUUAGAUACCCUGGUAGUCCACGCCGUAAACGAUGAGUGCUAAGUGUUAGAGGGUUUCCGCCCUUUAGUGCUGAAGUUAACGCAUUAAGCACUCCGCCUGGGGAGUACGGCCGCAAGGCUGAAACUCAAAGGAAUUGACGGGGGCCCGCACAAGCGGUGGAGCAUGUGGUUUAAUUGGAAGCAACGCGAAGAACCUUACCAGGUCUUGACAUCUUCUGACAACCCUAGAGAUAGGGCUUCUCUUUCGGGAGCAGAGUGACAGGUGGUGCAUGGUUGUCGUCAGCUCGUGUCGUGAGAUGUUGGGUUAAGUCCCGCAACGAGCGCAACCCUUGAUCUUAGUUGCCAUCAUUAGCAGUUGGGCACUCUAAGGUGACUGCCGGUGACAAACUGGAGGAAGGUGGGGAUGACGUCAAAUCAUCAUGCCCCUUAUGACCUGGGCUACACACGUGCUACAAUGGACGGUACAAAGAGCUGCAAGACCGCGGUGGAGCUAAUCUCAUAUAACACCGUUCUCAGUUCGGAUUGAUAGGCUGCAACUCGCCUCG
This 1237-nucleotide ribosomal RNA is filed under the name Bacillus cereus. RNAcentral's name for it is "bacterial SSU rRNA". It matches the Rfam family "Bacterial small subunit ribosomal RNA", at positions 99 to 1320 of the family's 1533-position model. The record is from RNAcentral. Lineage: Bacteria; Bacillati; Bacillota; Bacilli; Caryophanales; Bacillaceae.